GAGGGUAGAGCUCAGUGGUAGAGUGCAUGCUUCGCAGGCAUAAGUUCAUGGUUUCAAUCCCCAGUACCUUCA
This 72-nucleotide transfer RNA is filed under the name Camelus bactrianus (Bactrian camel). It matches the Rfam family "tRNA". Rfam says of the family: Transfer RNA (tRNA) molecules are approximately 80 nucleotides in length. The record is from Rfam by way of RNAcentral. RNAcentral also lists the same sequence under 1 other name. Lineage: Eukaryota; Metazoa; Chordata; Mammalia; Artiodactyla; Camelidae.